RNAcentral lists this ribosomal RNA (347 nucleotides) under uncultured Desulfovibrio sp. Its description in RNAcentral is "bacterial SSU rRNA". It matches the Rfam family "Bacterial small subunit ribosomal RNA", at positions 1033 to 1382 of the family's 1533-position model. The record is from RNAcentral. Lineage: Bacteria; Pseudomonadati; Thermodesulfobacteriota; Desulfovibrionia; Desulfovibrionales; Desulfovibrionaceae.
GACAGGUGCUGCAUGGCUGUCGUCAGCUCGUGUCGUGAGAUGUUGGUUAGUCCCGCAACGAGCGCAACCCUCGCCUUAGUUGCCAGCAUUCAGUUGGGCACUCUAGAGGGACGUGCCGGUGGUCAAACCGGAGGAAGGUGGGGAUGACGUCAAGUCCUCAUGGCCUUUAUGUCUAGGGCUACACACGUACUACAAUGGCCGGUACAAAGGGCAGCCACUCAGCGAUGAGGCGCUAAUCCCAUAAAGCCGGUCUCAGUCCGGAUCGCAGUCUGCAACUCGACUGCGUGAAGUUGGAAUCGCUAGUAAUCGUAGAUCAGCAUGCUACGGUGAAUACGUUCCCGGGCCUU